GCCAGACUCCUACGGGAGGCAGCAGUGGGGAAUAUUGCACAAUGGGGGAAACCCUGAUGCAGCAACGCCGCGUGAGUGAAGAAGUAUUUCGGUAUGUAAGGCUCUAUCAGCAGGGAAGAGAAUGACGGUACCUGACUAAGAAGCCCCGGCUAACUACGUGCCAGCAGCCGCGGUAAUACGUAGGGGGCGAGCGUUAUCCGGAUUUACUGGGUGUAAAGGGAGCGUAGACGGCUGGUCAAGUCUGAAGUGAAAGCCCGGGGCUUAACCCCGGAACGGCUUUGGAAACUGAGCAGCUAGAGUGCUGGAGAGGUAAGCGGAAUUCCUAGUGUAGCGGUGAAAUGCGUAGAUAUUAGGAGGAACACCAGUGGCGAAGGCGGCUUACUGGACAGUAACUGACGUUGAGGCUCGAAAGCGUGGGGAGCAAACAGGAUUAGAUACCCUGGUAU
This 446-nucleotide ribosomal RNA is filed under the name uncultured bacterium. RNAcentral's name for it is "bacterial SSU rRNA". It matches the Rfam family "Bacterial small subunit ribosomal RNA", at positions 330 to 793 of the family's 1533-position model. The record is from RNAcentral.